RNAcentral lists this ribosomal RNA (368 nucleotides) under uncultured organism. RNAcentral describes it as "bacterial SSU rRNA". It matches the Rfam family "Bacterial small subunit ribosomal RNA", at positions 526 to 896 of the family's 1533-position model. The record is from RNAcentral.
CGGAGGGUGCAAGCGUUAUCCGGAUUUACUGGGUUUAAAGGGUGCGUAGGUGGGUCUGUAAGUCAGUGGUGAAAUCUCCGAGCUUAACUCGGAAACUGCCAUUGAUACUAUAGGUCUUGAAUUAUCUGGAGGUAAGCGGAAUAUGUCAUGUAGCGGUGAAAUGCUUAGAUAUGACAUAGAACACCAAUUGCGAAGGCAGCUUACUACGGAUCGAUUGACACUGAGGCACGAAAGCGUGGGGAUCAAACAGGAUUAGAUACCCUGGUAGUCCACGCCCUAAACGAUGGAUACUCGACAUUUGCGAUAUACUGUAAGUGUCUGAGCGAAAGCAUUAAGUAUCCCACCUGGGAAGUACGAUCGCAAGAUUG